CCCGCUGUCAUCAACCGAGAGACCGAGCCCCGCUGUCAGCGCCGACCGGGGAAAUUCACAAGCUCGGUAAAAAUUCUCCGGUGUACUGCUCGCCUGAAGAUGUUCUGCGCGACAGAAUGGAAGCCGACAAGAGAGAAAGAGAGCCAGAAAACCCAAGGAAAACACAGUUACUCCCAAGCAACAAAGUGGCAAGAAUGCAAGUCUUGGCAUCGACUGGUGCUCUUAACAUUUUCUCAUCUAAAAAGAGGACGUUUUGAGAUUUAAGACAGCCCUGGCUCAAAUUAGAUUAUAAUUCACUGCAGGACAUCCCCAUUACGCAGGUAUUGUGUGAAAUGGAAACUAUAUGUGACCCCUGGAGCAUAAAACCAUCCUGCCUGGGUAUAUUUUGGCAAUAAUUGUAUUGGUCAAAAUGAUAAUUUUUAUCUUUUAUGCCAUAAAUUAUUCCCAUUUUAUGUAAAGAUCAAGUUCCAUGAAAACAUUUUGUAAAUUUAGUAAUAUGCAUUGAGAAGCGCAUCACGAAGACCAGUGUUUCUCAACCACGUUCCUGAAGGACCACCGGCUCUGCAUAUUUCCCAUGUCUCCUUAACCAAACACACCUGAUUCAGAUCAUCUGCUCAUUACACAGACUGAAAGGCCUGUAACAAUUUAGACAGACAAAGGAGACAUCAAAAAUAUGCAGUGUUGGUGGUCCUCCAGCGACGUGUUUGAGAAACACUGAUGCAGACAACUUUAAAGCAGAUUUUAUCAGUGUUUUUGAUUUUUUUUUUAACUCAAGUUAGGUUUCAGGAGAUUGAAAAAAGAAAGAUAAAGGUGCAUUUUACACACUAUAAAAAAUUAUUGUUGCUUUAAUUUUUUUUAGAUGAAUAUAAUUUACUUUUAUUUUUUUUUAAAGUUAAACUGUAUAUAACUUAAAAAAUGUAGUCGACAAGUUAAAUCGAUUUGAAUUAAAGCAACAUAAAAAUA
Non-coding RNA from Danio rerio (zebrafish), 963 nucleotides. NCBI's taxonomy places the organism in Eukaryota, Metazoa, Chordata, Actinopteri, Cypriniformes, Danionidae. The record is from RefSeq and is a predicted model, not a curated record.